GAUGAACGCUGGCGGCGUGCCUAAUACAUGCAAGUCGAGCGAACAGACGAGGAGCUUGCUCCUCUGGCGUUAGCGGCGGACGGGUGAGUAACACGUGGAUAACCUACCUAUAAGACUGGGAUAACUUCGGGAAACCGGAGCUAAUACCGGAUAAUAUAUUGAACCGCAUGGUUCAAUAGUGAAAGACGGUUUUGCUGUCACUUAUAGAUGGAUCCGCGCCGCAUUAGCUAGUUGGUAAGGUAACGGCUUACCAAGGCAACGAUGCGUAGCCGACCUGAGAGGGUGAUCGGCCACACUGGAACUGAGACACGGUCCAGACUCCUACGGGAGGCAGCAGUAGGGAAUCUUCCGCAAUGGGCGAAAGCUUGACGGAGCAAAGCCGCGUGAGUGAUGAAGGUCUUCGGAUCGUAAAACUCUGUUAUUAGGGAAGAACAAAUGUGUAAGUAACUAUGCACGUCUUGACGGUACCUAAUCAGAAAGCCACGGCUAACUACGUG
Molecule: ribosomal RNA, 497 nt
Filed under: uncultured bacterium
Lineage: Bacteria
Description: partial 16S ribosomal RNA
Rfam family: Bacterial small subunit ribosomal RNA
Source: RNAcentral